Molecule: small RNA, 296 nt
Filed under: Vigna angularis var. angularis
Lineage: Eukaryota; Viridiplantae; Streptophyta; Magnoliopsida; Fabales; Fabaceae
Description: Non-protein coding transcript
Source: RNAcentral
UCUCACUGAGCUACAAAGCGUUUGCAAUGUCUGCAACUAAAUCCGGGUCAAGGAAGCGGGCUUCCGAAUCCGAACUCACGAAAACCGAUAAGAACAACCGAUCAACAAAUGAUAAUUUCGAUCUCGAUUUGGAUUUCGAUCUCUCAGAUGACAUCAAAGGAAUCGUGUCCGCGUUGCACCUGAUCAGAGACAAGGCUCAGAAGGAUGGUCAGAAGAAGAACGAAGAGACAAUUUCCAGUGUGGGUUUUGAGGUUAAGUCUAUGAUCGAGGGAUUGAGGUCAAAAAUUGAGAAGGAC